UUUGUGGGUUUAAUUGUUGUCAUAUGUAUUGUAUUAAAAAUUGUUUUUUAAUUUGCAUUCUUUUUUCUUUUGGUUUCUUAUGGCAUAACAAACCGAAAUUGAUUGUAUUUUAAAGAUGUGGAAAUUUUUUGCUGUUGAAGGAAGUAAAAGAAUUAAAUUUCUUUUGAAAAUUGUGGAAUUUACUCUGGAGGAUGCUGCUGCAGGUGCAGGUGGGCCAUAAUAUGUAUAUGUAUUAACAGAGGGUGUCGAUGGGGUCUUUACUCCAGUGGAUGGAUAAUUCCGAUAACCAAAAACAUUGAGCUUAAAUCCACAUGUUAAAUAUAUCUAGGCUAGCUAAAUUUUUUUUGAUUUAGUGUCACAUUUUACAUAUGGAACUCAUUGUGUUACCUUUAUGGACCUUUAGCAGUUUACCAAAUUAUUGGUAAUAGAAUCUAUUUGCUUUUGUCUGUUG
Molecule: long non-coding RNA, 451 nt
Organism: Drosophila willistoni
Lineage: Eukaryota; Metazoa; Arthropoda; Insecta; Diptera; Drosophilidae
Exons: 3
Source: RefSeq, a predicted model, not a curated record